ACCUAACACACCCUUAAUAUAGCAGCGUGGUGCUGCGGUGCUGCCUACAAAUCGCCGACGGCUGCAAAAACACCUGAAAAUCGAUAUGAUGCUAGCUUUCAGCAUGUCCAUCGCCGGUUUCCUGCUCCUCGUAGUCAUCGUAGCAGCUGCUUCCUCUUCCUUCACCGGCGUCCACGCGGGCGCCGCCUGUGCGCCCAAGGAGAGGGACGCCCUCCUGGCGUUCAAGCAAGGCAUCACCAGCGACCCCGGGGGCCUCCUGGCGUCAUGGCAGCCAGAAGAUGAGCAUGACUGCUGCCAAUGGGGAGGAGUCCAGUGCAGCAACCUUACGGGCCAUGUCCUCGAGCUGCACCUCGGAGGCGGAGGUCUGACCGGAGAGAUAAGUCGUUCUCUGCUCUCCUUGCAGCAUCUUGAAUAUGUCGAUGUCAGCAUGAACAGCCUCCAGGGGUCGACCGGCCAAGUCCCGGAGUUCCUAGGAUCUUUCAAGAACCUAAGAUAUCUUAACCUCUCUAGCAUACCGUUUUCCGGUAGGGUGCCUCCUCAGCUUGGCAACCUCUCAAAGCUGCACUAUCUUGAUCUUUCAAACACUAGUUCGCAGCAGCAGUACAUGUACUCCACUGAUCUCUCGUGGUUAACACACCUACCUUUGUUGCAGUACCUCAACAUGGAGUCAGUAAAUCUUAGCAUGGUAACUAACUGGCCGUAUAUGGUGAAUAUGUUGCCUUCUUUGAGGGUCCUUAUUCUCGAUGAUUGCUCGCUAACAAGUGCAAACCAAUCGCUCCCACACCUUAACCUUACAAACCUUGAGGAGCUCUAUCUCUCCUCCAAUAGCUUUCAACACCCAGUUGCAUCUUGUUGGUUUUGGAACCUAACAAGCCUAGUGUACCUCUCCCUCGAGGGAUAGCUCAGUUGAUAGAGUCUCCAGCUAAGAGUCUGUCUAUCUAAACUCCUAACUCGUGUGCUAGUAAAAAGUGGGUACCUCUUUGAAAAUUGGUUUCAACGAGUUUUCUAAUUAACUAAGGUUCGGUACUCCCCUCUUUAAGACGAAGCCAAGGGGUUUCUUCCCGUGAUCGAGUUUUUUUUUUUCAGUUGUAUUGUUGAUAGCCAAUAAGGGAAAAAAGAGGGAGUCAUCAGUACAUCUACAGUACCAACUUUGGGAAGAAGGAAUAAACAGCCAGUUUUUGCAGAAAGCGUUCUGCUUUCGCAUGAGCCUUUGGUCGGGUAAGUAUGAAGAAAACAGAGCAUGGCACAACAUCAAUAUACACGACUGAUAGAACGAACUUCCCAGAAAUCUCCUCUACAAUUGCUACCUAGCAGAUUGCUCGUGUACGCCCAAGGAAAAACAGAUGCAGCAGACAGUAAGGUGGUAAUUGUCCUGAGAGCCAUUUUUUAAAGAUUAAUGCUACCGUACUAUCCGACGACCUCACCUGAUAGUUCGGUGCAACUUUCUAAGUUGAUUUGGAAUUAGGGGCUGUUUGGUUCUUGCUCCUAAGAAGCCAAGUAAAACUUUGAUCACAUCUCAAAAAUUUAGCUUUUGUUUGGAUCAAGGCCAAAAUUUAGCCGCGUACUGAAAAAUUGGCUGGCUAAAUAUUUUCUAUAGCAAAGCUAGAUAAGAUUUUAGCAUCUAAAAUGGCCGCUUCGAUUUUUGGCCAGCCAAAAUUUUGACUUAGGCCUCAUUUGGAUAGGUUGCGGCUUCGGAGCUUCUAGCUAGCUGAGGAAGUGGUUGUGGCUGUUGAAUUUUAGUUGUUGGCUUUUACAAUAAACUUUUAUCUUCUUAGCACACCAAAAAACACCAGAAGCUGGUUCAAAAGUCAGCCGCUUGGAUAGCUUCUGGCUCUUUUCAGGAAAAAGCCGCUUUUAAGCCCAUCAAAAUAGACGGAUAGCCUCAAACCAAACACUACAUGACAUGGCCAAAUUUUAGCAUGACCCCAAUUUUUGCAUGGCUUCCUAGGGGCGAAAACCAAACAACCCCUUAAAGCCUCUGGUGACCCACCGAUUGUCCUUGGUGCUCCCGUUUUACAGACCAACGACUAGUUUCUCCCCUUCAACGGCUAAUUUUUUAGGUUAUCCCUAUGUAUUAUACCAUAUUGCUCUGUCAUUUGAAGGUGCUCUCACUCGUUGGAAAGCUUACACACAUAUUGGAGAGAUUGAGGCACUUUGGUAAUAAUAUUAAAGAUCAAGAUAAUUAGCAUAAGAUUAAGGAUGAAUAGUGUUAGUUUAGGCCUAGUCUGAAUCUAGCUAGGUAAUUAGAAUAGAAUGAAUCAAGUGAGUGAUCCACACUUAUUACUCUUGGUGCUUGCUGGUACCUAGAUGGUUUGGUAGCGGUAUAGUCUUGUGAGACCCUCCAAUUGAGUUUGUGGAGCGGUCGCAAGCCUUGUAAGAAGAAGGAGUGGCCUGUGCCAGAGUGGUGAAGCACUACCAUAGUGAAGACGAGCAGUGGGAAUCAGGGGUGAGACCUAGUAGGAGACCCACCGGCGUGAGGGGAGCUCUAACGGCUAGAAUCAUUGGAGUAGCCGAGUAGGGAGCUUGGCACUUGUGAGGGACUCCAACGUGGAUUAGAGGUGAGCGGCAAAACCGAUACCAAGGGAAAAAUCAUCAUGCUGAGUUUGCGCUCUCUAACUCAUUUAUAUUUUGCACUUAUUUAUUGCAUCAUUUAAUUUUCACAUUUACCUUUUCUAGAAUUUCUAUGUGUAGCUGUAGGAUUGGAACCUAGGGUGAAAACUUAUUACGAUGGAGUACCGCACUAAAUAAAUCUAAAUUAUAAUUAGAUAGAAAUUGAUUUAGAUUUAUCUUAUUGAUUUAAGCUAAUUAAUUUUAGAAACCCUAAUUCACUCUCCCUCUUAGACUAUCACCGUUCCUUAUAGACGUUUUUUGCAGUGCAGUGCCAAAAUUGCAAGUCCAGCUUCUUGUUACACUUUCUAUAUAGAAGUUUUUUACACCCUUGUGAACAAAAAUGUUUGUAAGACUAUUAGAUUUGUAACACCAUAAAGUUUGUACAGAUUUUCUAGUUAACAUUCGCAGGAUUUUUUUCACCGCAAAUUCAUUCAUUUUUGUGACCAUCGGAUGUAGAUCCAACCGUCUGCCUGCAUCUGGCUCAACCUUGUAUAAGUCAUUGUCUUCCACAAGCAGAUCGAUCUACUCCAGUCCCAAUCCACUACAUGGCCUCUUGUUGAUGAUAUACCCUAAGGUAAUCUUUAAAUCAGAUUGGAUCCGUGUGUGAGCCUUGCGGAUAAUGAUAUACGAGGGAUUAGAACUAUAAUAGACUUCCAACAUAUGGCAGUCUAUUAGUGGGGUCUAUAUAAGUGAAGUCGCGGGGCUAUGGGAGAAACAAAUUCCAUCACCCCGAAACUCUAGCCGUCUCCACGUGACCUCCCCACAAAUCCCUAGCUAGGUGCACGGUGCCAGCACACCAGCGUACAGUGUUCCACCCCUGGACAUGUGGAUAUCGUUGUGGCGUUGCUGCUGCUGUUGUUGUUGUUGCUGUACUGAUCGGCGACAAGGACGCAAGGAGGAGCCGACCAGUUCGUAAAGAGAUUGACUACUUUCUCUACACUCAUGCGCACGACAUUAGACCAGUCUUCUCCAACUCUUUUUUCGCUGCAAUGUGCAUCUAGUGAUAACGAUACAUGAUCGCCUACUCACAUGGUUUCCUAGAUGAACAUGAUAGAACUUUUGUUUUACGCUAGCGUAGCGUACCCGUUUCCCAACACCUUCACUGUUUUGCUUCUGCCGUCAACCUCACCCAUUGGCGAUCCUCUGUGACUGUGGUGGGUGGUGCCCCCGCUGCCUCGCCAUCCCACGCGCUGCCUUCCACCAUCGCUAGAUUAUCCGACUUCUGUUGGAAAUAUACGAAUUAUUCUAGUAUGAAAUUAAUCCUCAUGAUGCGUUAGGCUCUAUGUUAUGAAAUUGUGGUAGUGUCACGUACAUUGCUUUUGAUAGAUAUCCUAGUAUCCCUUACGGCAAAUACGGUGUAUAAAUAGAAAGCAUCGAGGCGACUUGCUCCGCCAGACCGCACAUGCAGGAUAGACAGAGUAAGUCAAGCGCGCAUGUACUGAAGAGUAACUGCGAGGGAACGCGUCCACCAGUAUGGCUACCGCCACCGCCGCCAGCUUCUUGCACCGGUGCCUCGUCGUGCUCGUCAUCCUCACAACCACCGUUCACUCGCUCCUGCAAAUCCGGCCGGGCAACACGGCCGGCGACGGCUUGUGCACACCGCGCGAGAGGGACGCCUUGCUGGCCUUCAAGCAAGGUAUCGCCAGCGACCGGGCAGGCCGCCUCAACUCAUGGCGGCGAGAUGACCGUGAGCAGGACUGUUGCCGGUGGAGAGGCGUCCGGUGCAGCAACCGGACUGGCCACGUCCGCGAGCUUCAACUCCGCAACACAACCCAGAUGGAUUGUGUGUUUAUCUAUGAAUACAUGAACUGUCAAUCAGUCAUUGUGAUUCAAACAGAAAUUGCAAGCAGCAACGUUGGGAAGACGUCCAUUGUUGUGACUCAUGCAGAAAGUUUUUAUAAACAGAGUAUCUCACCUUUUUCGUGAUUUAUUACAAAUUACUCCAAUUGAGUUCUUGAUAAUGAAUGAAACAAAACUUGUCUAGUACAAGUAAGAUUAAAGCAUGCAAGAUUUAUAUUCGUGUUACGUGGCAGUUUUAUAUUCGCGUUACGCAGCAGAAGCUAGCCUCAACUUUGCAUUGACAUUAACUCCAGUGCAUUGUUCUCUCUUUAAUAAACUCCAGAGUACCAAUAUGCUAUGCAUAGUCCUCUAACUCUCGGUCACAACGACAGCGUUAAAAUCAUGCUGCUGAAUCAAGAGCUUUGGUUGGAUAAAAUAUGAAAGGAAGGCAGGGCACACCAUCAAUAUACAUAACUGAUAAAAAAAACAACAAUUCACAUUCAACCUCUUCAUUGCUUCAAUGUUAUUGGUGUGAAGUGUCUGCUCCUUUCAUCUGCCAUUGUUGCGUAGAAGCCUGGCUGUGAGGUUGUCUUCUAGAAGCGUUAGCUCGGUUUCUCCUUCGAUGACCUGAAUUAUUGUGCUUAUUGCUACUGGUGUUGUUUGUCAGGCUGCGUUGCCCUGUUUCUGAGGUUGAAGUAGUGGUGUCUUCGCAGGGAUCAUUGUCUCCUGCAACUGUAGCUGGCACUCUGGGAGGAAGCGAAACAUACAUUCCAGGCUGUAUGGCGAGGUCUUUCUUCGGUUCGAUCAGGCCAUUUCGUUCUUGUUGCAGAUUAACCAGUGACUCAAUUUUUUUUCCUUCUAUACAUCUCUAACUCAGAAUGCAGCAACUCCUUUUUCUCUUCACCCAGGUCAAUUGUUAAUGAUGCCUAAAGGUGAACGGGUAAAAGAGAAGAGUUAUAGUGGCAGGAGCAGAUAAAGGAAGGACUUGGAGGCCGUAUACAUCUCAUGCUAGCAGGAGCAGCACCUUUGCCAAGGCACAUCGAAGAGUUCAUGCGGGUAACCAGCUGCAGUGUCUUUGUACAAGGAUACGGGCUCACAGAGAGUUGUGCAGGAUGCUUCACGUCUAUUGCCAAUGUUUUCUCAAUGAUUGGAACAGUUGGCCCUCCUGUCACGACGAUCGAGGCAUGACUGGAGUCCGUCCCUGAAAUGAGCUACGACGCGCUAUCAGACACGCCCCGGGGUGAGAUCUGCUUGAGGGGCCACACCUUGUUCUCGGGGUACUACAAGCGCCCUGACCUCACUGAAGAAGUGUUCUCAGAUGGCUGGUUCCAUACAGGUGAUAUUGGAGAGUGGCAACCCGAUGGGACGAUGAAGAUCAUCGACAGAAAGAAGAACAUCUUCAAGCUAUCCCAGGGAGAGUAUGUAGCAGUUGAGGUCCUGGAAAGCGCAUACACGCUGUCCCCUCUCGUUGCAUCGGUACGCCAAUUGAAGCCAACAAAAACUAAACCUAAGUACUUGAGCACUUAAUUAUGCUCCGAUUCAACUAGAGAACCUUUACAGUACACCAUGAUACUAGAUGGUGGAGAGUAUCAUUGUUGUGAUCCAACCGUCCAUUUUAGUAGGUAUUAUUGUAAUUAUCUUGGUACCCUUAGGGGUAAUUACGUCAUUGACUGGCCGGA
Phragmites australis (common reed) is the source of this 6068-nucleotide long non-coding RNA. RefSeq lists it as uncharacterized. The record is from RefSeq and is a predicted model, not a curated record. The transcript has 4 exons. Lineage: Eukaryota; Viridiplantae; Streptophyta; Magnoliopsida; Poales; Poaceae.